Molecule: ribosomal RNA, 695 nt
Filed under: uncultured soil bacterium
Lineage: Bacteria
Description: bacterial SSU rRNA
Rfam family: Bacterial small subunit ribosomal RNA
Source: RNAcentral
GAACGCUGGCGGCAGGCCUAACACAUGCAAGUCGAACGCUCCAGCAAUGGAGAGUGGCAGACGGGUGAGUAACGCGUGGGAACCUUCCCAGUGGUACGGAAUAGCCCAGGGAAACUUGGGGUAAUACCGUAUAAGCCCCUAGGGGGAAAGAUUUAUCGCCAUUGGAUGGGCCCGCGUAGGAUUAGCUAGUUGGUGAGGUAACGGCUCACCAAGGCGACGAUCCUUAGCUGGUCUGAGAGGAUGAUCAGCCACACUGGGACUGAGACACGGCCCAAACUCCUACGGGAGGCAGCAGUGGGGAAUAUUGGACAAUGGGCGCAAGCCAGAUCCAGCCAUGCCGCGUGAGUGACGAAGGCCUUAGGGUUGUAAAGCUCUUUUGGCGGGGACGAUAAUGACGGUACCCGCAGAAUAAGCUCCGGCUAACUUCGUGCCAGCAGCCGCGGUAAUACGAAGGGAGCUAGCGUUGUUCGGAAUCACUGGGCGUAAAGCGCACGUAGGCGGAUUUGUAAGUCAGGGGUGAAAUCCCGGGGCUCAACCUCGGAACUGCCUUUGAUACUGCAAAUCUCGAGUCCGGAAGAGGUGGGUGGAAUUCCUAGUGUAGAGGUGAAAUUCGUAGAUAUUAGGAAGAACACCGGUGGCGAAGGCGGCCCACUGGUCCGGUACUGACGCUGAGGUGCGAAAGCGUGGGGAGCAAA